RNAcentral lists this ribosomal RNA (796 nucleotides) under uncultured bacterium. RNAcentral describes it as "bacterial SSU rRNA". It matches the Rfam family "Bacterial small subunit ribosomal RNA", at positions 59 to 847 of the family's 1533-position model. The record is from RNAcentral.
CAGUCGAGGGGCAGCAUGGUCUUAGCUUGCUAAGGCCGAUGGCGACCGGCGCACGGGUGAGUAACACGUAUCCAACCUGCCGUCUACUCUUGGACAGCCUUCUGAAAGGAAGAUUAAUACAAGAUGGCAUCAUAAGUCCGCAUGUUCACAUGAUUAAAGGUAUUCCGGUAGACGAUGGGGAUGCGUUCCAUUAGAUAGUAGGCGGGGUAACGGCCCACCUAGUCUUCGAUGGAUAGGGGUUCUGAGAGGAAGGUCCCCCACAUUGGAACUGAGACACGGUCCAAACUCCUACGGGAGGCAGCAGUGAGGAAUAUUGGUCAAUGGGCGAGAGCCUGAACCAGCCAAGUAGCGUGAAGGAUGACUGCCCUAUGGGUUGUAAACUUCUUUUAUAAAGGAAUAAAGUCGGGUAUGGAUACCCGUUUGCAUGUACUUUAUGAAUAAGGAUCGGCUAACUCCGUGCCAGCAGCCGCGGUAAUACGGAGGAUCCGAGCGUUAUCCGGAUUUAUUGGGUUUAAAGGGAGCGUAGAUGGAUGUUUAAGUCAGUUGUGAAAGUUUGCGGCUCAACCGUAAAAUUGCAGUUGAUACUGGAUAUCUUGAGUGCAGUUGAGGCAGGCGGAAUUCGUGGUGUAGCGGUGAAAUGCUUAGAUAUCACGAAGAACUCCGAUUGCGAAGGCAGCCUGCUAAGCUGCAACUGACAUUGAGGCUCGAAAGUGUGGGUAUCAAACAGGAUUAGAUACCCUGGUAGUCCACACGGUAAACGAUGAAUACUCGCUGUUUGCGAUAUACUGCAAGCGGC